GUUAGCCUAGAAGCUGAACACUAAUUGUUCCAUCCUGAUAACUGGUUUUCAAUACUAUCUGAAAUCAUUUCAAACACUUGACCCGGGCUUGAUUGAGCUUUCCUGGCACAGUGGGACUAAGAGACUCUGCCCAACUGACACUCCAGGCAAGCUAAAGCCAACACUGAAAGAUUUGAACUCAAAAGGAUGGAUGGAUGGAUAGAAGGAUGGAUGGAUGGAUGGAUAGAAGGAUGGAUAGAUGGAUGGAAGGAUGGAUAGAUAGAUGGAUGGAUAGAUAGAAGGAUGGAUGUAAGGAUGGAUGGAUGGAUGGAUGGAUGGAUGGAAGGAAGGAUGGAUGGAUAGAAGGAUGGAUGGAUGGAUGUAAGGAUGGAUGGAUGGAUGGAAUUAGAGAUAGUAUCCUGUACAAACUAGAUAUGUUAUCAAAUGUAAUUUGUUACAUGCGCUGAAUACAACAAGUGUAGACCUUACUGUGAAAUGCUUUACUUACAAGUCCUUAACCAACAAUGCAGUUCAAGAAGAGUAAAAAUAAAUAAAUAAUAAAAAGCAACACGGUAACGAGGCUAUAUACAGGGGGUAUCGGUACAGAGUCAGUGUGGAGGCUAUAUACUGGGGGUACCGGUACAGAGUCAGUGUGGAGGCUAUAUACAGGGGGUACCGGUACAGAGUCAGUGUGGAGGCUAUAUACUGGGGGUACCGGUACCGAGUCAGUGUGGAGGCUAUAUACUGGGGGUACCGGUACCGAGUCAGUGUGGGGGCUAUAUACAGGGGGUACCGGGUCAUGUGGGGGGCUAUAUACAGGGGGUACCGGUACCGAGUCAGUGUGGGGGCUAUAUACAGGGGGUACUGGUACCGGGUCAGUGUGGGGGCUAUAUACAGGGGGUACCGGUACAGAGUCAAUGUGGAGGCUAUAUACAGGGGGUACCGGUACCGAGUCAGUGUGCAGGGGUACAGGUUAGUUGAGGUAAUUUGUACAUGUGGGUCGGGGUGAAGUGACUGUACAUAGAUAAUAAACAGUGAGUAGCAGCAGUGUACAAAAUAAAUGGGGUGUCAAUGUAAUAGUCCGGUGACCGAGCAGUUGCCAGGAGGUGAUGCAACCAGUCAAGAUGCUCUCGAUGGUGCAGCUGUAGAAUUUCUUGAGGAUCUGGGGACCCAUGCCAAAUCUUUUCAGUCUCCUGAGGGGGAAAAGGUUUUGUCGUACUCCUCUUCACGACUGUCUUGGUUAGUUUGGACCAUGAUCCUGUACAAACUAGAGAUUCACUAUAUAUACAAAAGUAUGUGGACACAUCUUAAAAUGAGAGGAUUCGCAUAGUUCA
Molecule: long non-coding RNA, 1313 nt
Organism: Oncorhynchus tshawytscha (Chinook salmon)
Lineage: Eukaryota; Metazoa; Chordata; Actinopteri; Salmoniformes; Salmonidae
Source: Ensembl